AACGAACGCUGGCGGCAUGCCUAACACAUGCAAGUCGAACGAAGCCUUCGGGCUUAGUGGCACACGGGUGCGUAACGCGUGGGAAUCUGCCCUUUGGUUCGGAAUAACAGUUGGAAACGACUGCUAAUACCGGAUGAUGACGAAAGUCCAAAGAUUUAUCGCCAGAGGAUGAGCCCGCGUAGGAUUAGCUUGUUGGUGGGGUAAAGGCGCACCAAGGCGACGAACCUUAGCUGGUCUGAGAGGAUGAUCAGCCACACUGGGACUGAGGCACGGCCCAGACUCCUACGGGAGGCAGCAGGGGGGAAUAUUGGACAAUGGGCGAAAGCCUGAUCCAGCAAUGCCGCGUGAGUGAUGAAGGCCCUAGGGUUGUAAAGCUCUUUUACCCGGGAUGAUAAUGACAGUACCGGGAGAAUAAGCCCCGGCUAACUCCGUGCCAGCCGCCGCGGUAA
Molecule: ribosomal RNA, 449 nt
Filed under: uncultured bacterium
Lineage: Bacteria
Description: partial 16S ribosomal RNA
Rfam family: Bacterial small subunit ribosomal RNA
Source: RNAcentral